AUGGUUGCAACUAUAAUGGCUUCAAGUGAAAGGCUUGCUGUUGCCAUUGAGAAACUUGCUACCGACGUCAACCCCGCUAUUGAUGGUCUUUGGGAUGAGAUGAAAGAACUCCCUGGCUUUGAUGUGGAUUCCCUUGCUCAUUACUAUGCCUAUUUGGUUGACAAUCCUCGUGUUGCAACGGCAUUGAAGGUUCUGGGGGUGUUCAAAGAAAGGUUUGGGUCGCUAGGUAUGUGA
This 234-nucleotide ribosomal RNA is filed under the name Triticum aestivum (bread wheat). RNAcentral's name for it is "partial small subunit ribosomal RNA". The record is from RNAcentral. Lineage: Eukaryota; Viridiplantae; Streptophyta; Magnoliopsida; Poales; Poaceae.